Molecule: transfer RNA, 90 nt
Filed under: Gastrodia elata
Lineage: Eukaryota; Viridiplantae; Streptophyta; Magnoliopsida; Asparagales; Orchidaceae
Description: tRNA-Ser
Source: RNAcentral
GUUUUAAAUAAAGUAAAAGCUUUUAGUGGAUACCUAGGCACCCAGAGACGACGAAGGGCGUAGCGGUAAAGGACGAAAUGCUUCGGGGAG